This 253-nucleotide ribosomal RNA is filed under the name uncultured bacterium. RNAcentral's name for it is "partial 16S ribosomal RNA". It matches the Rfam family "Bacterial small subunit ribosomal RNA", at positions 524 to 776 of the family's 1533-position model. The record is from RNAcentral.
UACAGAGGGGGCAAGCGUUGUUCGGAAUUACUGGGCGUAAAGGGCGCGUAGGCGGCCCGCUAAGUCGAACGUGAAAUCCCCAGGCUUAACCUGGGAACUGCGUCCGAUACUGGCAGGCUUGAAUCCGGGAGAGGGAUGUGGAAUUCCAGGUGUAGCGGUGAAAUGCGCAGAUAUCAGGAGGAACACCGGUGACGAAGGCGGGUCUCUGGGCCGUAACUGACGCUGAGGAGCGAAAGCGUGGGGAGCGAACAGG